This 468-nucleotide ribosomal RNA is filed under the name uncultured bacterium. RNAcentral describes it as "partial 16S ribosomal RNA". It matches the Rfam family "Bacterial small subunit ribosomal RNA", at positions 28 to 507 of the family's 1533-position model. The record is from RNAcentral.
GACGAACGCUGGCGGCGUGCUUAACACAUGCAAGUCGAACGGAAAGGCCCUGCUUUUGUGGGGUGCUCGAGUGGCGAACGGGUGAGUAACACGUGAGUAACCUGCCCUUGACUUUGGGAUAACUUCAGGAAACUGGGGCUAAUACCGGAUAGGAGCUCCUGCUGCAUGGUGGGGGUUGGAAAGUUUCGGCGGUUGGGGAUGGACUCGCGGCUUAUCAGCUUGUUGGUGGGGUAGUGGCUUACCAAGGCUUUGACGGGUAGCCGGCCUGAGAGGGUGGCCGGCCACAAGGGGACUGAGGUACGGCCCAGAAGCCAACGGGAGGCAGCAGUGGGGAGUAUUACACAAUGGGCGGAAGUCUGAUACAGCAACGCCGGGUGCGGGAUGACGGCCUUCGAGUUGUAAACCGAUUUCGCCUGUGACGAAGCGUGAGUGACGGUAAUGGGUAAGGAAGCACCGGCUAACUACGUG